GGAGCUUUUUAUCUUUUCUUUGCCUAAGCAUUGCUCCAACUGCAUAGUCACUUGCAUUGCACAUCAUCUCGAACGGUAGCUCCCAAUUUGGUGGUUGCAUUAUUGGUGCUAAAAUCAUGGCUUUAUUGAUUCUGUUGAAGGAGACAAGGCAAUUUUCAUCAAAAUCAAAAGAAACAUCUUGACUUAACAAGUUGGUAAGUGGCUUAGCUAUUUU
RNAcentral lists this unclassified non-coding RNA (214 nucleotides) under Hevea brasiliensis (rubber tree). The record is from RNAcentral. Lineage: Eukaryota; Viridiplantae; Streptophyta; Magnoliopsida; Malpighiales; Euphorbiaceae.